Molecule: long non-coding RNA, 1098 nt
Organism: Ananas comosus (pineapple)
Lineage: Eukaryota; Viridiplantae; Streptophyta; Magnoliopsida; Poales; Bromeliaceae
Exons: 3
Source: RefSeq, a predicted model, not a curated record
CUUCUCCUCCCCCUCCCCCUCCCCCUCCGCCCUCCUCGUGCCCCGCCGGAGACAUCCGAGGGUUAGGGUUAGGGUUAGGGUUUGGUGUGGGGGAGAGCGUGGUCGGAAUGAAGAGUAAGAAGAAGAAGAGGAGGAGGAGGGGGUUUUUGAGGGAGGAGGGGACGGUCGCGAGGGUUUUUUGGAAGCGCGGGGUAACAGCGAGGAUGAGUGCGAAAUUGGAGAAGAAACAGCGGGGAUCAAUUCAUCAUCAUCAGAGCGGAUGCUAAUUUUGGCUGGUGAUUGGAAGAAUCUUCGCUUCCUUUUGUUACAGAGUAAUUUUUGCAGGUAUUUUAAGAGCACUGCGUGCAUAUAUUAGCAACACGCCAACAUCCUCUUUUGCUUCGUCUGUAAUUGAUUUUCCACUCCGGUAAGUAGUAAUUGAUUUUCCACUUCAGUAAGUAAUUGAUUUUCCACUCCUCCAAACAAGUAAGAUUUUCCACAGUAAUUGAUUUUCCACUCCUCCAAACAAGUAAGAUUUUCCACUCCUCCAAACAAUUUACUUGCAUGCGCAUCAACACGAGAGAGAAAUGUGCAGCUAAUGCAAGGCAAAAUCGAGCAGUGCAUUUAGUUGAAAAUAUAAAAUAAUUAGACUUCAAAUUUAAAACUCCUAAUGCGGAUUAUCAAAAUUUUUGCCAUCUGUGCAAGAAACAGUUUGUAGGUUGUUUCCAGAAUAUUGUCCUUGUAACAAGGGUGGAUUCAGUUCGGGCUUAAACGAGGCUCGGAGGGCCAGGCUUUGUUCAUGUUGGGUUUGGAUAGUCCAAAUAGAAUUUUGGCCUAUGACCAGGUGCCAACUACCAAAUCCUUUGCCACUUGCUUUAGGGACGAUCGGUCUGUCUUACAUAUGUUAAAUGCAAGCAGUGCAGGAAACAGUUGUGGGGUACAGAACAGAAACAGUUAAUUUUGUUGGCUAUUUUAGGAUGAUGCAAGGUGGCCGCAAGGUGGCCUUAUUUUUCUUUUGUAAUAUUCAACGACUGCAUUUAAUCAAUAUGAUAGGUAUAAAAUUUACAUCUUUGUCUUCUUGUAAAUUGAGAAAAUACUAUCUGUGUAAGUUACAUCAUA